Agelaius phoeniceus (red-winged blackbird) is the source of this 3553-nucleotide non-coding RNA. Lineage: Eukaryota; Metazoa; Chordata; Aves; Passeriformes; Icteridae. The record is from RefSeq and is a predicted model, not a curated record.
GCCGGGCCGGGCCGCCGCCCGCCCCAGCCAUGUCCGGCGGGCCGCAUCGCCCGGGUGCAGCGGAGCCGGGCGGGCUGCGCAGUUCUGUGCAACAUCCACACUGCUGGCAUCAGGAGCAGGAACAUGGAAACUGCAAUGAUUCUGAUUCUCUGGUGUUGGAGGAAUAUCAAUGUGGCCAUUCAGACCACUGGCUGGAGAGCUCUGCAACGUCAGAACAUUCUAGGCCACUUUCCAGUUGCCUGAAUUGGGAAGGUAGAACUGAAGAAGGCAAAACAAUGAGGACAUCAAAUAAAAAAAUGACCCACAACUCUGCCAAUCCAGCAGAAAGGGAAACUGAUGAGGUGGUCCUGAGGAGAAGACAAAAACAGAUCAAUUUUGGCAAGAAUACUCUGGCAUAUGACAGAUACAUUAAAGAAGUUCCAAAGAGCCAGCGACUUCCAGGGGUUCACCCUACAACUCCCAACAAGUUCAAGAAGUACAGCCGCAGGUCCUGGGACCGGCAGAUCAAGCUGUGGAAGAUUGCACUGCAUGCCUGGGAUCCUCCUGCUGAAGAAACCUGGGAUCUGCAGCCUGUCAGUACAGAACCUUCAGGUAGUUCCCAGGAAUGGUUCUGCAAAGAUGAGGAUGUUCCUGGCUCCUUUGUGUUUGACGAAAAGCAGAUGAGAAAUGAGUGUGAAGAUGAAUGCAGGCAGACUGCCCACACACCUGAGAGUUCCUGUUCUCCCAAUUCUUCUCCAGUAUGGAAACGCAGAAGAAGAAACAAUUCUGACUCCUCUGUGGUUUCAGAGAGCAAAAACCAUUAUCUGCACAUGUACCACACUGCACUGGAAAGCCUUACUGCCUCAGGACAUCAGGAUGCUUUUUCCAAGUGCUCAGAGUGGGAAGCCUUUGGUGCAAAAGAUGAAGUCAUGGCAGUGCAGCAAAGUAUAGAAAUAACAAGUUCUGUGCAACAUCCACACUGCUGGCAUCAGGAGCAGGAGCAUAGAAACUGCAAUGAUUCUGAUUCUCUGGUGUUGGAGGAAUAUCAAUGUGGCCAUUCAGACCACUGGCUGGAGAGCUCUGCAACGUCAGAACAUUCUAGGCCACUUUCCAGUUGCCUGAAUUGGGAGGGUAGAACUGAAGAAGGCAAAACAACGAGGACAUCAAAUAAAAAAAUGACCCACAACUCUGCCAAUCCAGCAGAAAGGGAAACUGAUGAGGUGGUCCUGAGGAGAAGACAAAAACAGAUCAAUUUUGGCAAGAAUACUCUGGCAUAUGACAGAUACAUUAAAGAAGUUCCAAAGAGCCAGCGACUUCCAGGGGUUCACCCUACAACUCCCAACAAGUUCAAGAAGUACAGCCGCAGGUCCUGGGACCGGCAGAUCAAGCUGUGGAAGAUUGCACUGCAUGCCUGGGAUCCUCCUGCUGAAGAAACCUGGGAUCUGCAGCCUGUCAGUACAGAACCUUCAGGUAGUUCCCAGGAAUGGUUCUGCAAAGAUGAGGAUGAUCCUGGCUCCUUUGUGUUUGACGAAAAGCAGAUGAGAAAUGAGUGUGAAGAUGAAUGCAGGCAGACUGCCCACACACCUGAGAGUUCCUGUUCUCCCAAUUCUUCUCCAGUAUGGAAACGCAGAAGAAGAAACAAUUCUGACUCCUCUGUGGUUUCAGAGAGCAAAAACCAUUAUCUGCACAUGUACCACACUGCACUGGAAAGCCUUACUGCCUCAGGACAUCAGGAUGCUUUUUCCAAGUGCUCAGAGUGGGAAGCCUUUGGUGAAAAAGAUGAAGUCAUGGCAGUGCAACCAAGUAUAGAAAUAACAAGUGGCUUGAUUCCAGCCAGUUAUUCUUCCGUAUGGAACAAUCCAAAACAGAAGAAAUCCAGCUUCUUUCUGCCUGCCAGCAAGACUUGCAGAGAUGCAGACUUCAGGCUGGAGAGGUAUCAAAGGCAGCUCAUCAGCUGGGGUUUGAGGGGCUUAAACUUUGUAGCAGUUUAUUGGAUGGACAUCAGUCAGAAUACCCUGACAGAAGAUGGGAAAGUGCAAAUGCUGAAGAUACAAUACUGAGGAAAAAAAUCUAAAUAUGAAGUCUCUCUUUGUAUAUAGAAAUAUUGAAGAAAGAAUUUCUCCUGUGACAGAAAAAGACUUGAAGAAUAGGGAUGUAUUCUGAGAUCAGCAGAUCAAGUCUUGGAAAACUGGUGCUGUCAUGUAGGACCUGCACUGAAAGGGAAGAGAUUUACAGUCAGCAUAAGUGCAAUCAACACAAGGUGAAAUUAUUCAGGUUUCUCCAGAUCUUUAUAAGGAUAGAUUGUUUUCUGCAAGCUGUGCCUCAAGUGUAAAACUCCAGAUUUUGUGAAACCUGUGCUGCAAUGACAAUGGAUGUUCCUUAAAGCCUUUGUGAGGACAUUGCUGCUGUGCCUGCAUUGGCAGGUGACACAUCAUAUAAUGUGCAUUAGAUUUCAAAAGCUGCUUCAGGUGAUGGAUCCUGCCAUUCCUCUGGAGGUCUUGUUCCUCAGGAUGUGCUGAUGCUUCACCAGAGAAUUGGUCCAGUGUCAAAUCAGACUGAAAAAUGAACGCCUCCAACCAAGGAACCUCCUCUGCUCCCCUGGACCAGAACUGGACAUCCAGCCUGAAGAACUGCUUCAAAAGAAUGUAGAUCAUUUCAGCCUUCCUCCAGCCAUUAAAGACAAGCUGUUCAUAACUUUUGGAUUGGGUGAUCACCCAUUUGGCAUAUUUAUUGUUCUCUGAGAUGUAUUAAGGUGGUGUUUGCCUAAGCCAGGUGAGAGAAGAGAAAGGAAAGGUAGAUGGUUUAUCAAAAUCAGAUCCAUUUCUUGAAAGGGUUGAGUGACUGUUAGAACAGCAGCACAGCUCAAAUACCUGGAUUUUGCUUUUAUGUGUGUUGCAGCCUGACCCAAAGAGCCAGUCUACAGUCAGAGGGUAGGAGAGGAUGCAUUCAGUGCCUGUUGUUCACACAACUGUUGGGGAUAAAUAGCAGUAUUUGCAGGUGUGGAGCUGCUCUUGUCCAGGCUAAGGGUUGUGAUGGUGUUGGGAUAGGCUCUCUUUUUUUGUUCUGCUAGCACUGUGUGCAGAAGUUUGAAGUGAGAGCUGUGGCUACAGUGGUUUGGACUAAAUCCACGUGCCAGUUACAAGAAUGUUACAGUCCUUGUGUAGCAUGUACUGGGAUACCAAUGGCUGCUAGAGCUGGGGGUUGUUUCUCUACAGGAGUUUGGUUUUGCUUUCCCUUGCUAUGGGGCUGGCAGUACCCAGGGCCAAGAGCCCAUUGUGCUGCUGAUUUUGAAGUAAGCUGCUCCCUCAGAAACUACUCUCACUCCCAAAAUGUAAUUUCCAGACAUGCUCAGGCAUUUUUCCCAACACAAGGGUGUAUCAGUCACACACCACAGAGCAUGUGUGUGUACAAGGGACACAUCUGUACAGCACUUUUCUAAGAGGUAAUAUUUAGAACCUUGUUGUUCCAGUGUGCAUGUUUCCUUGUGAUUUAUGAUGACUGUAAAUAAGGGGAUGUGUUACAUUUUUGGCAAUUUGCCUUUAUGCAGAAGAAUUAAAGACUUGAAUUAAAAAUC